Molecule: long non-coding RNA, 322 nt
Organism: Mauremys reevesii (Reeves's turtle)
Lineage: Eukaryota; Metazoa; Chordata; Testudines; Geoemydidae
Exons: 3
Source: RefSeq, a predicted model, not a curated record
UGAAGGUUCCGAGAUUUUUAUAAGAGCCACCUCUACCAACUGCCGUGACACACCUAUCAACUUGAAACCUUCAUGCCAACUUAGCCUCUGCAUCAGGAACCAUACUGAUAUCAGAGAUACAAAUGACAGCAAAAUACCGUCCAGGUCAUGUUUAAAUGUGGUGGCUGUGACCAUUUCAAGGAAGAAACCAAAUUACUUGUAAAAGGAGCAUGAGCUUUCGUGGGUGAAUACCCACUUCUUCGGAUGCAAGCAGAAAGGCAUGGAAUCCGUGUCCGCCGUGACAAACUCACAGCCUUAUUCAUUACUAACAGCUAUUUGGCAG